UACGUAGGUGGCGAGCGUUGUCCGGAUUUACUGGGCGUAAAGGGAGCGUAGGCGGACUUUUAAGUGAGAUGUGAAAUACUCGGGCUCAACUUGAGUGCUGCAUUUCAAACUGGAAGUCUAGAGUGCAGGAGAGGAGAAUGGAAUUCCUAGUGUAGCGGUGAAAUGCGUAGAGAUUAGGAAGAACACCAGUGGCGAAGGCGAUUCUCUGGACUGUAACUGACACUGAGGCGCGAAAGCGUGGGGAGCAAACAGG
This 253-nucleotide ribosomal RNA is filed under the name uncultured bacterium. RNAcentral describes it as "partial 16S ribosomal RNA". It matches the Rfam family "Bacterial small subunit ribosomal RNA", at positions 524 to 776 of the family's 1533-position model. The record is from RNAcentral.